UGCGCGGGACCCAUGGUUCAGCUUCCACGUGAGAGCGAGAGCUUUCUCCGCACCUGCGGCGGACAAAUGGGUCCCGCGCAUGA
This 83-nucleotide small RNA is filed under the name Caulobacter vibrioides NA1000. RNAcentral describes it as "small non-coding RNA". Lineage: Bacteria; Pseudomonadati; Pseudomonadota; Alphaproteobacteria; Caulobacterales; Caulobacteraceae. The record is from RNAcentral.